Molecule: ribosomal RNA, 554 nt
Filed under: uncultured euryarchaeote
Lineage: Archaea; Methanobacteriati; Methanobacteriota
Description: bacterial SSU rRNA
Rfam family: Archaeal small subunit ribosomal RNA
Source: RNAcentral
AUGGGGUGCANCAGGGGCGAAACCUCCGCAAUGCGGGAAACCGCGACGGGGUCAGCCGGAGUGCCCGCGCAUCGCGCGGGCUGUCGGGGAGCCUAAACAGCUCCCCAUAGCAAGGGCCGGGCAAGGCCGGUGGCAGCCGCCGCGGUAAUACCGGCGGCCCGAGUGGCGGCCACUAUUAUUGGGCCUAAAGCGUCCGUAGCCGGGCUGGUAAGUCCCCCGGGAAAUCUGGCGGCUUAACCGUCAGACUGCCGGGGGAUACUGCCAGCCUAGGGACCGGGAGAGGCCGGGGGUAUUCCCGGGGUAGGGGUGAAAUCCUGUAAUCCCGGGAGGACCACCUGUGGCGAAGGCGCCCGGCUGGAACGGGUCCGACGGUGAGGGACGAAGGCCAGGGGAGCGAACCGGAUUAGAUACCCGGGUAGUCCUGGCUGUAAACGAUGCGGGCUAGGUGUCGGGCGAGCCACGAGCUCGCCCGGUGCCGGAGGGAAGCCGUUAAGCCCGCCGCCUGGGGAGUACGGCCGCAAGGCUGAAACUUAAAGGAAUUGGCGGGGGAGCAC